This 670-nucleotide ribosomal RNA is filed under the name uncultured bacterium. RNAcentral describes it as "bacterial SSU rRNA". It matches the Rfam family "Bacterial small subunit ribosomal RNA", at positions 57 to 718 of the family's 1533-position model. The record is from RNAcentral.
GCAGUCGACGGUAACAGGAAGCAGCUUGCUGCUUUGCUGACGAGUGGCGGACGGGUGAGUAAUGUCUGGGAAACUGCCUGAUGGAGGGGGAUAACUACUGGAAACGGUAGCUAAUACCGCAUAACGUCGCAAGACCAAAGAGGGGGACCUUCGGGCCUCUUGCCAUCGGAUGUGCCCAGAUGGGAUUAGCUAGUAGGUGGGGUAAAGGCUCACCUAGGCGACGAUCCCUAGCUGGUCUGAGAGGAUGACCAGCCACACUGGAACUGAGACACGGUCCAGACUCCUACGGGAGGCAGCAGUGGGGAAUAUUGCACAAUGGGCGCAAGCCUGAUGCAGCCAUGCCGCGUGUAUGAAGAAGGCCUUCGGGUUGUAAAGUACUUUCAGCGGGGAGGAAGGGAGUAAAGUUAAUACCUUUGCUCAUUGACGUUACCCGCAGAAGAAGCACCGGCUAACUCCGUGCCAGCAGCCGCGGUAAUACGGAGGGUGCAAGCGUUAAUCGGAAUUACUGGGCGUAAAGCGCACGCAGGCGGUUUGUUAAGUCAGAUGUGAAAUCCCCGGGCUCAACCUGGGAACUGCAUCUGAUACUGGCAAGCUUGAGUCUCGUAGAGGGGGGUAGAAUUCCAGGUGUAGCGGUGAAAUGCGUAGAGAUCUGGAGGGAUACCGGUGGCGA